UACGAAGGGUGCUAGCGUUGUUCGGAAUCACUGGGCGUAAAGCGCGCGUAGGCGGCUUUUCAAGUCAGGGGUGAAAUCCUUGGGCUCAACCCAAGAAUUGCCUUUGAAACUGUGAAGCUAGAGUGUCGGAGGGGAUAGCGGAAUUGCUAAUGUAGAGGUGAAAUUCGUAGAUAUUAGCAGGAACACCGGUGGCGAAGGCGGCUAUCUGGACGACAACUGACGCUGAGGCGCGAAAGCGUGGGGAUCAAACAGG
Molecule: ribosomal RNA, 253 nt
Filed under: uncultured bacterium
Lineage: Bacteria
Description: partial 16S ribosomal RNA
Rfam family: Bacterial small subunit ribosomal RNA
Source: RNAcentral